This is a small nuclear RNA of Loxodonta africana (African savanna elephant), 103 nucleotides long. The record is from Ensembl. Lineage: Eukaryota; Metazoa; Chordata; Mammalia; Proboscidea; Elephantidae.
GAGCUUCAGCAACACAUAUACUAAAAUUGGAAUCAUACAGAGAAGAUUACCAUGGCCCCUGUGCAAGGAUGACAUGCAAAUUUGUGAACCGUUCUAUAUUUUU